Molecule: long non-coding RNA, 448 nt
Filed under: Triticum aestivum (bread wheat)
Lineage: Eukaryota; Viridiplantae; Streptophyta; Magnoliopsida; Poales; Poaceae
Description: long non-coding RNA (TAES_LNC011343)
Source: RNAcentral
AAAUAGCACAACUUAGGUUCAUUACACAGUUCCCAUCAAAUAGCAUAAUUUAGGUUCAUUGCAUAGUUCCCAUAAAAUAGCACAAUAGGUCCAUGACAUAGUUCAUCACAAAUUCAUGAUACAAUCCUCAAAUAGCAGCACAUUCAAGUCUCUAUUGGGUCACACGCGGCCAUUUCCCCUUCUUGUCGCGUGCCUCAUCCUCCUCUUGUGCAUCGCGAGCCCUCGCAAGCUUUCUUGCCCUCUCCUCUUGACGAGCUGCCUUCUCUUUGCGCGCCCUCUCCUCCUCAUGCUUCUUCCGCUCCUUCCUCUCCCACUCACGACGUUCUUCGUCCUCUGCUCUCUGUAAGGAUUCUUCAAACAGUCGCUGUCUCCUAAGGCAAUCUUGAAGUUGGUCUUUUUGGACAUCUUCUGGCACUUCAUGAUCUGUCCAUGUGAAGUACUUGCAAAG